This 292-nucleotide ribosomal RNA is filed under the name uncultured bacterium. Its description in RNAcentral is "partial 16S ribosomal RNA". It matches the Rfam family "Bacterial small subunit ribosomal RNA", at positions 505 to 796 of the family's 1533-position model. The record is from RNAcentral.
GUGCCAGCAGCCGCGGUAAGACGAAGGGGGCUAGCGUUGUUCGGAAUUACUGGGCGUAAAGCGCGUGUAGGCGGUUGUUCAAGUCAGGUGUGAAAGCCUUGAGCUCAACUCAAGAAAUGCACUUGAUACUGGAUGACUAGAGGACCGGAGAGGAUAGUGGAAUUCCCAGUGUAGUGGUGAAAUACGUAGAGAUUGGGAAGAACACCAGUGGCGAAGGCGGCUAUCUGGACGGUUUCUGACGCUAAGACGCGAAAGCGUGGGGAGCAAACAGGAUUAGAUACCCCAGUAGUCC